Molecule: ribosomal RNA, 827 nt
Filed under: Gracilibacillus dipsosauri
Lineage: Bacteria; Bacillati; Bacillota; Bacilli; Caryophanales; Bacillaceae
Description: bacterial SSU rRNA
Rfam family: Bacterial small subunit ribosomal RNA
Source: RNAcentral
GAGCGCGGGAAGCUGACUGAAUCCUUCGGGAGGACGUGAGUGGAACGAGCGGCGGACGGGUGAGUAACACGUGGGCAACCUGCCUGUAAGACUGGGAUAACUCCGGGAAACCGGGGCUAAUACCGGAUAGUACUUUGGUUCAUAGGAACCGAAGUGGAAAGGUGGCGCAAGCUACCACUUACAGAUGGGCCCGCGGUGCAUUAGCUAGUUGGUGAGGUAACGGCUCACCAAGGCAACGAUGCAUAGCCGACCUGAGAGGGUGAUCGGCCACACUGGGACUGAGACACGGCCCAGACUCCUACGGGAGGCAGCAGUAGGGAAUCUUCCGCAAUGGACGAAAGUCUGACGGAGCAACGCCGCGUGAACGAAGAAGGUUUUCGGAUCGUAAAGUUCUGUUGUUAGGGAAGAACAAGUACCGUUCGAAUAGGGCGGUACCUUGACGGUACCUAUCGAGGAAGCCCCGGCUAACUACGUGCCAGCAGCCGCGGUAAUACGUAGGGGGCAAGCGUUGUCCGGAAUUAUUGGGCGUAAAGCGCGCGUAGGCGGUUUCUUAAGUCUGAUGUGAAAUCUUGCGGCUCAACCGCAAGCGGUCAUUGGAAACUGGGGAACUUGAGUACAGAAGAGGAGAGCGGAAUUCCACGUGUAGCGGUGAAAUGCGUAGAGAUGUGGAGGAACACCAGUGGCGAAGGCGGCUCUCUGGUCUGUAACUGACGCUGAGGUGCGAAAGCGUGGGGAGCGAACAGGAUUAGAUACCCUGGUAGUCCACGCCGUAAACGAUGAGUGCUAGGUGUUAGGGGGUUUCCGCCCCUUAGUGCUGCAGUUAACGC